Molecule: long non-coding RNA, 1262 nt
Organism: Macaca mulatta (Rhesus monkey)
Lineage: Eukaryota; Metazoa; Chordata; Mammalia; Primates; Cercopithecidae
Source: RefSeq, a predicted model, not a curated record
UCUCUGUCAGUACCUUCCCCCACUGUCUCCUGCUAUGGUCUGAAUGUUUGUGCCCCCCACUCCCCUGCCAAAUUUAUAUGUUGAUACCAAAUCCCCAGUGCAAUCAUCUUAAGAGGUGGAGCCUUUGAGAGGUGAUUAGGUCAUGAAGGCUCUGCCCUCAUGAAUGGGUUUAGAGCUCUUACAAAAGAGGCUUGACAGAGCUUGUUUGCCCCUUCCCCUUCUGCCAUGUGAGGAACAUACAAGGCAUCAUCUAUGAGGAAUGAGCCCUCACCAGACACUAAAUCUGCUGGCACCUUGAUCUUGGACUUUCCAGCCUCCAGAAUGGGCAAUCACUGAAAUGUAAAGGAAUGAGCACAGUGUCCUGCUUUGUUUAUCUGAGAACCACCAGCAGCUCCCAGACACUUCUGUUUUCUUCUUGAAAGACAGAAAGAGAGAAUCCGGCUGUAUUUGCUCCAAGGGUCAAUCCCUUCUUCUGUCUUCCACAUUCUCUCCUGCUGGGCUCUUCCUUCUUCUGAAACAUUCCCUCUUCAACGUCUAGGAUGACCUCUCUCACUUCAAGUCCUUUCGAAAGUCAAACAUUUCCCGCGGGUUGGCCUCCUUUGGCGCUCCACUUCCUUUCUUUCUUUGAACUGGGGAGGCAAGAAGACAGUCGAAGCGGAGCCAGAAGGCCAAGCUUAGCUUCACGGUGCCUGAUGUCCUGUAAAAGGGGACACCAUGUGGAAAAGCCGAGAGAGUUCCAGGAGUAGGAUUCAAGACAUUCUGCUUUCUGCUGGUGACAAGAUCCACAGGUGGUCUGCAGGACUGGAGUAAGCCUGGAGAAGCCUUACGGACCCUCCACACCUAACACUAGCUUGAGGCCAGGCUCCCCGUCUCCCUCUCCAGCACGCUCUUCUCUGUACACAGGACCUCUUUGGUGCCUCCCAAUCCUGAUGUAUCCAGUCUCACUCCAUAAGUUCAUUGGAAAGAAGAGUGAAGAGAGAACCAAGGGAGCAGAGACUCAAGAAAGAGAAGAGAGCUUCAUAUGUCACACUCCCAGGGAGUAUAAGGAGUGUGUGUCCAACUCCUCCACCCGUAGCUGGGAAAGUUGGAAUAAUUCUAACCUCUUUGUGUGUGAUAACUCCUCAAAUUCUAGCAUGGUAUAAUAGAGGCUUGUUGUAAGAAUUAGAUGAGAUGAUCUAUAAAAGCUCUUGUAAUAUUUUACUGGCUUUAUAAAUGUCAACUAUUGUCAUUAAAGUAUAUAUAAGCUCUUGCUUUUCCUAGUA